This 253-nucleotide ribosomal RNA is filed under the name uncultured bacterium. RNAcentral describes it as "partial 16S ribosomal RNA". It matches the Rfam family "Bacterial small subunit ribosomal RNA", at positions 524 to 776 of the family's 1533-position model. The record is from RNAcentral.
UACGUAGGGUGCAAGCGUUAAUCGGAAUUACUGGGCGUAAAGCGAGCGCAGACGGUUACUUAAGCAGGAUGUGAAAUCCCCGGGCUCAACCUGGGAACUGCGUUCUGAACUGGGUGACUAGAGUGUGUCAGAGGGAGGUAGAAUUCCACGUGUAGCAGUGAAAUGCGUAGAGAUGUGGAGGAAUACCGAUGGCGAAGGCAGCCUCCUGGGAUAACACUGACGUUCAUGCUCGAAAGCGUGGGUAGCAAACAGG